GAGCGGGGACCACCCCGUAAGGCUAAAUACUCCUUAGUGACCGAUAGCGCAUAGUACUGUGAAGGAAAGGUGAAAAGUACCCCGGGAGGGGAGUGAAAGAGAACCUGAAACCCUGUGUCUACAAGCUGUGGGACCUCUUUAUAUGAGGGACUGCGUACUUUUUGUAGAACGGUCCGGCGAGUUGUGCGUACUGGCGAGGUUAAGGACUUAAGGUCUGGAGCCGAAGUGAAAGCAAGCGUUAAUAGCGCGUCAAGUCAGUGAGUGCAGACCCGAAACCGGGUGACCUAUCCAUGUCCAGGUUGAAGCUUCCGUAAGAGGAAGUGGAGGACCGAACCCACAUCCGUUGAAAAGGGUGGGGAUGAGGUGUGGAUAGCGGAGAAAUUCCAAUCGAACCCGGAGAUAGCUGGUUCUCCUCGAAAUAGCUUUAGGGCUAGCCUCAUACAAGUCUGCCGGAGGUAGAGCACUGAAUUUCCGCGGGGGCGUCAAAGCCUACCAAAGAAUAUCAAACUCCGAAUGCCGGACAGAUGGUGUAUGGGAGUCAGACUGUACGAGAUAAGUUGGACAGUCAAAAGGGAAAGAGCCCAGACCGCCGGCUAAGGUCCCAAAGUGGGUGUUAAGUGGAAAAGGAUGUGGGAUCUCUAAGACAACCAGGAUGUUGGCUCAGAAGCAGCCAUUCAUUAAAAGAGUGCGUAACAGCUCACUGGUCGAGAGGUCCUGCGCCGAAAAUGUCCGGGGCUGAAACACCACACCGAAGCCGCGGAACCCGUAAGGGUUGGUAGAGGAGCAUUCUUAGGGGAGUGAAGCAUUACCGGAAGGGGAUGUGGACCGCUAAGAAGAGAGAAUGCCGGAAUGAGUAGCGAGAGCAAGGUGAGAAUCCUUGCGGCCGAAUAUCCAAGGUUUCCAGAGUAAAGCUGAUCUGCUCUGGGUAAGUCGGGGCCUAAGGAGAGGCAGAGAUGCGUAUCCGAUGGACAGCAGGUUUAAGAUUCCUGCACCCCUUGUUAUCAGAACUGCGGGGACACGGGAAGGGAAGCAGAGCCGGGAAUGGAAAGCCCGGUGCAAGCGAAGUAGUCGCAGGGUUGGAAAAUCCGCCCUGCAUGAGACGAAGGCGUGAUGCGGAGCGAAAUGAAGUAGUGAAGCUGCGGCCCCUUCCUGUCGAGAAAAGCCGCUAUCGUGUAGCAAGGGCCCGUACCGUAAACCGACACAGGUGGAUGAGGAGAGGAUCCUAAGGCCGGCGGGAGAAGUGUUGUUAAGGAACUCGGCAAAAUGACUCCGUAACUUCGGGAGAAGGAGUGCUGCGCAAGCAGCCGCAGAGAAAUGGCCCAAGCAACUGUUUAGCAAAAACACAGGUCUAUGCGAAACCGGAAGGUGAGGUAUAUGGGCUGACGCCUGCCCGGUGCUGGAAGGUUAAGGGGAGAGCUUAGCGCGAGCGAAGGUUUGAACUUAAGCCCCAGUAAACGGCGGCCGUAACUAUAACGGUCCUAAGGUAGCGAAAUUCCUUGUCGGGUAAGUU
RNAcentral lists this ribosomal RNA (1510 nucleotides) under human gut metagenome. RNAcentral describes it as "bacterial LSU rRNA". It matches the Rfam family "Bacterial large subunit ribosomal RNA", at positions 440 to 1982 of the family's 2925-position model. The record is from RNAcentral.